Molecule: ribosomal RNA, 219 nt
Filed under: uncultured bacterium
Lineage: Bacteria
Description: partial 16S ribosomal RNA
Rfam family: Bacterial small subunit ribosomal RNA
Source: RNAcentral
UGGGUAAUCUACCUUCUGGUGGGGGAUAACUCUGGGAAACCGGAGCUAAUACCGCAUAAGCCUGAAAAGGGAAAGGGGAAAUUCGCCGGAAGAGGAGCCCGCGGCCGAUUAGCUAGUUGGUGGGGUAAAAGCCUACCAAGGCGACGAUCGGUAGCCGGCCUGAGAGGGCACACGGCCACACUGGCACUGAAACACGGGCCAGACUCCUACGGGAGGCAG